GAUGAACGCUGGCGGCGUGCCUAAUACAUGCAAGUCGAGCGAACAGAUGAGGAGCUUGCUCCUCUGACGUUAGCGGCGGACGGGUGAGUAACACGUGGAUAACCUACCUAUAAGACUGGGAUAACUUCGGGAAACCGGAGCUAAUACCGGAUAAUAUAUUGAACCGCAUGGUUCAAUAGUGAAAGACGGUUUUGCUGUCACUUAUAGAUGGAUCCGCGCCGCAUUAGCUAGUUGGUAAGGUAACGGCUUACCAAGGCAACGAUGCGUAGCCGACCUGAGAGGGUGAUCGGCCACACUGGAACUGAGACACGGUCCAGACUCCUACGGGAGGCAGCAGUAGGGAAUCUUCCGCAAUGGGCGAAAGCUUGACGGAGCAACGCCGCGUGAGUGAUGAAGGUCUUCGGAUCGUAAAACUCUGUUAUUAAGGAAGAACAAAUGUGUAAGUAACUAUGCACGUCUUGACGGUACCUAAUCAGAAAGCCACGGCUAACUACGUG
This 497-nucleotide ribosomal RNA is filed under the name uncultured bacterium. RNAcentral's name for it is "partial 16S ribosomal RNA". It matches the Rfam family "Bacterial small subunit ribosomal RNA", at positions 28 to 507 of the family's 1533-position model. The record is from RNAcentral.